This 496-nucleotide ribosomal RNA is filed under the name uncultured bacterium. Its description in RNAcentral is "partial 16S ribosomal RNA". It matches the Rfam family "Bacterial small subunit ribosomal RNA", at positions 28 to 507 of the family's 1533-position model. The record is from RNAcentral.
GAUGAACGCUGGCGGCGUGCCUAAUACAUGCAAGUCGAGCGAACAGACGAGGAGCUUGCUCCUCUGACGUUAGCGGCGGACGGGUGAGUAACACGUGGAUAACCUACCUAUAAGACUGGGAUAACUUCGGGAAACCGGAGCUAAUACCGGAUAAUAUAUUGAACCGCAUGGUUCAAUAGUGAAAGACGGUUUUGCUGUCACUUAUAGAUGGAUCCGCGCCGCAUUAGCUAGUUGGUAAGGUAACGGCUUACCAAGGCAACGAUGCGUAGCCGACCUGAGAGGUGGUCCGGCCAAACGGAAACGAGAACCCGUCCCAAACCCUAAGGGGGGGAGGCAGAGGGAAAUUUUCCGCAAGGGGGAAAGCCCGACGGGGCAAACCCCGGGGAGGGAAUAAGGGUUUUGGAUCUGAAAAACCUGUUUUUAGGGAAAAAAAAAUGUGUAAAUAAAUGUGCCACUUUUGAAGGGACCUAAACAGAAAGCCACGGGCUAAUUAGUG